Molecule: long non-coding RNA, 326 nt
Organism: Felis catus (domestic cat)
Lineage: Eukaryota; Metazoa; Chordata; Mammalia; Carnivora; Felidae
Exons: 2
Source: RefSeq, a predicted model, not a curated record
AAUAGAACCAAACCCUCUGAAGAAGUUGCCUGAUCCAGAACCUGCUUUGUCUUCCAAGGAAAAUUAAAGACCUCAAGAGAUCCCACAAAUCCUGUUGUUGAGCUGAGAGCCUUUCAAUCAUCAUGCCAUCAAGCCCAGGCUAGCCUGCUGGAGGAUGAGACCAUGUGGAGAGAGCACCCAGGUCCUCAGCCACCUUAGCUGAGGCCCCAGACAUGUAAGUGAUGGAGAACAUUUGGACCAGAAGACUUGGCUACCUAGUAGAACCCGGUCCAAAUUGAAAACCCAUAGAUUUGCUAGCUAAAUAAAGUAGUUGUUGUUUUAAGCCA